UACAGAGGUCCCAAGCGUUGUUCGGAUUCACUGGGCGUAAAGGGUGCGUAGGCGGUUGGGUAAGUCUGAUGUGAAAGCUCGGAGCUUAACUCCGAAAUGGCAUCGGAUACUAUCCGGCUAGAGGAUUGGAAGGGAGACUGGAAUACUUGGUGUAGCAGUGAAAUGCGUAGAUAUCAAGUGGAACACCAGUGGCGAAGGCGAGUCUCUGGACAAUUCCUGACGCUGAGGCACGAAAGCCAGGGGAGCAAACGGG
This 253-nucleotide ribosomal RNA is filed under the name uncultured bacterium. RNAcentral describes it as "partial 16S ribosomal RNA". It matches the Rfam family "Bacterial small subunit ribosomal RNA", at positions 524 to 776 of the family's 1533-position model. The record is from RNAcentral.